Molecule: ribosomal RNA, 1157 nt
Filed under: marine metagenome
Description: bacterial SSU rRNA
Rfam family: Bacterial small subunit ribosomal RNA
Source: RNAcentral
CUGCCCAGACUCCUACGGGAGGCUGCAGUCAAGAAUCUUCCUCAAUGGACGAAAGUCUGAAGGAGCAAUGCCGCGUGGUAGAUGAAGCUUUUCGGAGUGUAAAUACCUUUUAUCAGGGACGAAUUUGUGACGGUACCUGAUGAAUAAGUCACUCCUAACUUCGUGCCAGCAGCAGCGGUAAUACGAAGGUGGCAAGCGUUACCCGGAUUAAUUGGGCGUAAAGCGUCCGCAGACGGUUUUAAAAGUUUUUAGUUAAAUCUUGAGGCUUAACCUCAAGACCGCUGAAAAUACUUUAAAACUAGAGGAUGGGAGAGGCAAACGGAAUUGCUGGUGUAGUAGUAAAAUGCGUUAAUAUCAGCAGGAACACCAAAAGCGAAGGCAGUUUGCUAGAACAAUCCUGACGUUCAGGGACGAAAGCGUGGGUAGCGAAUGGGAUUAGAUACCCCAGUAGUCCACGCCGUAAAUGUUGGAUACUAGAUAUUGGAAGUAUCGACCCUUUCAGUGUCGUUUACCGAAGUUAACACCUUAAGUAUCCCGCCUGGGGAGUACGGCCGCAAGGCUAAAACUCAAAGGAAUUGACGGGAACCCGCACAAGCGGUGGAGCAUGUGGUUUAAUUCGACGAUAAGCGAAAAACCUUACCAAGGCUUGACAUAUACCUGCAAAUCUUAAGAAAUUAAGACUCUUUCGAAGGUGGUAUACAGGUGCUGCAUGGUUGUCGUCAGCUCGUGUCGUGAGAUGUUGGGUUAAGUCCUUUAACGAGCGCAACCCUUAUCCUAUGUUGUAUAUCAUAGGAGACUGCCCUGGUUUAACAGGGAGGAAGGUGAGGAUGACGUCAAAUCAGCAUGGCUCUUACGCCUUGGGCAACACACGUGCUACAAUGGUCAGUACAACAGGUCGCAAAACCGCAAGGUGAAGCUAAUCCUUUCAAAACUGAUCUAAGUUCGGAUUGAGGUCUGCAACUCGACCUCAUGAAGUUGGAAUCGCUAGUAAACGCUGAUCAGCUAUGCAGCGUUGAAUACGUUCUCGGGUUUUGUACACACCGCCCGUCACACCAAGAGAGUCGAUAGCACCCGAAGGCUGACAUUAGUCGGACGAAGGUGAAAUUGAUGAUAGGGGUGAAGUCGUAACAAGGCAUCCGUAGCGGAAGCUGUGGAUA